Non-coding RNA from Cyanistes caeruleus (blue tit), 576 nucleotides. Lineage: Eukaryota; Metazoa; Chordata; Aves; Passeriformes; Paridae. The record is from RefSeq and is a predicted model, not a curated record.
CUCUGCAAAAACAGCCCCUUAUCUGCUCCUGCCUGCCUCUUGUCCAAGUCAUGUGUGAUUAGUUCCCUGACACAAACACCCCUCUGGAGCCAAGGCAGCUGCAAGGCAAGCUGUGCUCUGAUACAGCUCAUGCCUCUAAGGCAGUGUGAGAGCAGUAGCUACUGUCUAGCUGAGCCCAGGAGCUUCACUGUUUAUGGAGCUGGAAGAAGAACAGUGUUUGAUUCUAAGGGAUCAAGCAGACCUGGUUGAGCUGGCAAUCAAAAUUAAAAAGUCAGUCCUGGUUCGUAACAAUAACUGUGAUCAGGAUUACAGAUACCAGACCUGGGCAAAUACUCCUAGAAACAGCCCUUCUGCUUUUCAUUUGGCAUAAGAUCUCCCUCUGUUCUUGAAGAUGUCAUGCUUCCUUCCCUUCCCACUAAAGAGGGUCAUGCUUUGGUCCAGCAGAUGACGAGCAGCAAAGCAAAGUCCAUGGGAACAUGAGGGAAUGGUUUGCCAAGCAGCAGGUCCAUGCUGGUGUGUGGCCUUUAGUCAGGGUUAAAUAAACACUGUGUAAAUAAAUAAAUAAAUUUUCCCCAG